This 973-nucleotide long non-coding RNA is filed under the name Volvox carteri. RNAcentral describes it as "long non-coding RNA (VCAR_LNC003061)". The record is from RNAcentral. Lineage: Eukaryota; Viridiplantae; Chlorophyta; Chlorophyceae; Chlamydomonadales; Volvocaceae.
AGCAGCAGCAGCAACAGCAGCUGGUGUCAGCGGUUCGCCGUCGUCGUUGUCGUUGUCGUUGUCGUGGUGGAUAUGCGAGGUAGGCCGCGUGUCGUGUAUGCGCCAGGUGAUCUGUGCGGGCUUGAUGCUUGAAAUAUUUUUAAGCCUGUUUUUACUUUUUAACGCUUCUAAAUGACCCCCAUAUAAAUUUCUGCUUAAAGAUUGUAAAUGUAAAAUUCCGUCGGUUAAUUUCAUAACUGUUUUUAUACUCUGAAGGGUGGAGUCCGACCAGGACGGUGGUGGUGGCUCGACCUGGAUGGUGGACCAGCUGCAGGCGCCGGUGAUGGCGAGGUAGCGAUUACAAAGGGAUAAACGACGUGUAAUUUCUGUGCACGUGGCUUAGUUGUGAAAUAGCAGGUGAAAUGAUGUCAAUGUCGGGCAAUCGCGAUGGGAAGGCGAGGUGAUAUGACAAAUUGUUAGCGCGUAUGCAUCUAAAGGCAAUUCUCGUGAGUCUGUGGGCAGGAAAUUAAUAGGUGUUAUCUGCCGAUAUACUGUUUAGCGGAAGAGGAAAGCAGGAUUGUGAGGCAAGUGCUAGGGUAUGAAUGGGUAUCCUUUCCGCCGUGUAUUUGCGGUUAGCUUACAUCCUUAUCGUUUUACAAGGCUUGGAAUGUUGUUUCCCAGCGACGCUGGUUGUUCCCCGCUACUUGAAUGUAUGCAUCAGCAAGGGAUAGGAAAUUAUGCAUUACGUCGUGAGGAUUUGGGGAAGUCGAACGUCUGGCAGUGAGGCGCAUGUAGAAACUUUGUGCCAAUUCGCUCGUAGUGCGUGUAGCUAUGUGGCAAGUUGCCUCUUUGUGCGCUAAGGCAGAGUAAGUACGCUGCGAGAUGCAGAACCUGAAAGAAGUAGCACGCAAGCUGCACAAAACCAUAUGUAUGUCUGUGCCGAUUAAGACUAGUUUUCCUUCUUUUGUAACGGCGAAACAUUCAUCCACAAUUU